UACGUAGGGGGCGAGCGUUGUCCGGAUUUAUUGGGCGUAAAGAGCUCGUAGGCGGUUUGGUAAGUCGGGUGUGAAAUCUCCACGCUCAACGUGGAGGGGCCACUCGAUACUGCCAUGACUCGAGUCCGGUAGAGGAGUGUGGAAUUCCCGGUGUAGCGGUGAAAUGCGUAGAUAUCGAGAGGAACACCAGUGGCGAAGGCGAGUCCCUGGACAACACCUGACACUGAGGCACGAAAGCUAGGGGAGCAAACAGG
Molecule: ribosomal RNA, 254 nt
Filed under: uncultured bacterium
Lineage: Bacteria
Description: partial 16S ribosomal RNA
Rfam family: Bacterial small subunit ribosomal RNA
Source: RNAcentral